UACGUAGGGGGCGAGCGUUGUCCGGAUUUAUUGGGCGUAAAGAGCUCGUAGGCCGUUCGGUAAGUCAGAUGUGAAAACUCCAGGCUCAACUUGGAGAGGCCAUCUGAUACUGCUGUGACUAGAGUCCGGUAGGGGAGCACGGAAUUCCUGGCGUAGCGGUGAAAUGCGCAGAUAUCAGGAGGAACACCAGCGGCGAAGGCGGCUUCCUGGCCUAGUACUGACGCUGUGGCGCGAAAGCUAGGGGAGCAAACGGG
This 254-nucleotide ribosomal RNA is filed under the name uncultured bacterium. RNAcentral's name for it is "partial 16S ribosomal RNA". It matches the Rfam family "Bacterial small subunit ribosomal RNA", at positions 524 to 776 of the family's 1533-position model. The record is from RNAcentral.